This 447-nucleotide ribosomal RNA is filed under the name uncultured bacterium. RNAcentral's name for it is "bacterial SSU rRNA". It matches the Rfam family "Bacterial small subunit ribosomal RNA", at positions 29 to 524 of the family's 1533-position model. The record is from RNAcentral.
AACGAACGCUGGCGGCAGGCUUAACACAUGCAAGUCGAACGCCCCGCAAGGGGAGUGGCAGACGGGUGAGUAACGCGUGGGAAUCUACCCAGUCCUUCGGAACAACACAGGGAAACUUGUGCUAAUACCGGAUACGCCUACGGGGAAAGAUUAUCGGAUUGGAUGAGCCCGCGUUGGAUUAGCUAGUUGGUGAGGUAAAAGCUCACCAAGGCGACGAUCCAUAGCUGGUCUGAGAGGAUGAUCAGCCACACUGGGACUGAGACACGGCCCAGACUCCUACGGGAGGCAGCAGUGGGGAAUAUUGGACAAUGGGCGCAAGCCUGAUCCAGCCAUGCCGCGUGAGUGAUGAAGGCCUUAGGGUUGUAAAGCUCUUUCAGUGGGGACGGAUAAUGACGGUACCCGACAGAAGAAGCCCCGGCUAACUUACGUGCCAGCAGCCGCGGUAAU